RNAcentral lists this ribosomal RNA (464 nucleotides) under uncultured bacterium. Its description in RNAcentral is "partial 16S ribosomal RNA". It matches the Rfam family "Bacterial small subunit ribosomal RNA", at positions 339 to 795 of the family's 1533-position model. The record is from RNAcentral.
CUACGGGCCGCAGCAGUGGGGAAUAUUGGACAAUGGGGGAAACCCUGAUCCAGCAAUGCCGCGUGUGUGAAGAAGGCCUGCGGGUUGUAAAGCACUUUCGGUUGGGAGGACUGCUUCUAGCACUAAUAUUGUUGGAAGUUGACGUUACCUUCAGAAGAAGCACCGGCUAACUCCGUGCCAGCAGCCGCGGUAAUCGGAGGGUGCAAGCGUUAAUCGGAAUUACUGGGCGUAAAGGCAGCGUAGGCGGCUAGAUCAGUCGGGUGUGAAAGCCCCGGGCUUAACCUGGGAACUGCAUCCGAUACUGUCUAGCUUGAGUACAGGAGAGGAGAGUGGAAUUCCACAUGUAGCGGUGAAAUGCGUAGAUAUGUGGAGGAACACCAAUGGCGAAGGCAGCUCUCUGGCCUGAUACUGACGCUGAGGUGCGAAAGCGUGGGGAGCAAACAGGAUUAGAUACCCUUGUAGUC